CCCUCACAAUUAGAAGAGGCCAAUUCCUAGGCCCUCUCAUCCUCAGAAGCUCUCUCUCACAAUCCUUUCAGAAAUACAAUAAUCAGUGUGGACGUAGCCCAAACAUUGGGGUGAACCACGAUACAUCUUGUGUUAUUUACACUUUCUUGCAGAUUCACAGUCGGAUUUACGUUGUUCCAAGACCUCCGGUUUUGUGCAUCAACAUUUGGCGCCUUCUGUGGGAAUCGAUACGAAAAUUUGUGUCGGUUCUCUUUCAUUUUUUCACCUCCACCAUGAAUCUGCAAAAUCUGGAAGAACCCAAAAACCUCACUCUUUGAGCUUUUCCAAAAAAAAAAAAAAACUGUCGCAGACCUCCAACCACCUCUCUCUCCUCUCUCAGCCAGUUACACACUGAAACCAAAAACAAAGAAAGAAACAAAUCCACUCAAUAAAUGUGAAAAAUCGCCAUGAAAAUGAAGGCAAAGAGCUCCAGAGCAAAGUUGGGCUUACCCACCGUCUUCCUCCUCUGCUCCCUCUUCUUCUUCGCCGGUUUAUUCAUCUCCACCCUCCUCUCCCAUGCCUCCGUCCCUCGCUUAAUCUCCAGAACUCUGGAAUCCG
This 597-nucleotide long non-coding RNA is filed under the name Malus domestica (apple). Its description in RNAcentral is "long non-coding RNA (MDOM_LNC000252)". Lineage: Eukaryota; Viridiplantae; Streptophyta; Magnoliopsida; Rosales; Rosaceae. The record is from RNAcentral.